GGAAAAUGGCCUUCUUGUUCAACUACGUCUUCACUAGCUUUCUGUUUUCCUUCACUGCCUCAGGUUGCUGUCCUAGAAAUUGCUCUGUAGACAAGGCUGACUCCAAACUCAGAGAUCCACCACCCUCUACCUUCUGAAUGCUGGGAUUAAAGAGCCCUCAUCCAGUGGCUAAUGGAAACAGAGUCAGACACCCACAGCUAUACACUGAACUGAACUCUGGAAUCCAGUUGCAGAGAGGGAGGAAUGAAGAUAAAAGCAGUUGGGACCAGGCUGGUGAAUCCCACAGAAACAACUGGCUUGAACAAGGGAGAACACAAGGACCCCAGACUGCUGUCUGGGAGGCCAGCAAGGGACUGUUCCAGACACCUGAACAUGGGUGUUAAUGAGGAGGCCUCAGCACUCUAUGGACCCCCUGGUAGUGGAUCAGUAUUUUUCCCUGGUGUAAGAAGGGACUUUGAGAGCCCAUCCCACGUGAAGGGAUAUUCUAGGCCUGAACCCAUCCUAGGCCCUCUCCAAGAUGAUGUGGUGCACUUUGGGAUCCCCCAUGGAGGGCCCUACCCUCCCUGGGAAUUGGAGCAGGG
This 581-nucleotide long non-coding RNA is filed under the name Cricetulus griseus (Chinese hamster). RNAcentral's name for it is "lncRNA (ENSCGRG00015032199.1)". Lineage: Eukaryota; Metazoa; Chordata; Mammalia; Rodentia; Cricetidae. The record is from RNAcentral.